GAAUUAUUCGUGCUGCAAUGGAACUCAAUCUUUCACUUCAUGAUGGCAAGGAUGGAUACAAUGGACUUGAAUAUUUAAAGUAUACUAUUGGUAGCUUUGAUGAAUGCACAAUGAUUCCAUAUAUUGAACUCUUUAAUCCAUGUUUUGAUGCAAAGAUGCAAAUAACGAAUAAUAUGGAAGAAUUUGCAUAUGAAUAUACGGGACCAAAGGAAUCAAAGUUCGUAAAAACAUUUUAGAUAUGUUUUUGAGACAACGAAAGUUCCAGUAAUAGUGCUAGACGGCAGACAUCACGUUACUCAUGGAUCAAUUAUAUUUACUUUAUUAAUCACAAAUUAAAUAACUUUUUUUAUUUUCUAAGUUAUAUAUUGCUUAUAUUGUUCUAUUCUUUGACUAGUUGAUAUUAUUAAAACAAUGUUACUUUUAGUAGAA
Cicer arietinum (chickpea) is the source of this 429-nucleotide non-coding RNA. The record is from RefSeq and is a predicted model, not a curated record. Lineage: Eukaryota; Viridiplantae; Streptophyta; Magnoliopsida; Fabales; Fabaceae.